RNAcentral lists this long non-coding RNA (3154 nucleotides) under Homo sapiens (human). RNAcentral's name for it is "HSALNT0312928". The record is from RNAcentral. Lineage: Eukaryota; Metazoa; Chordata; Mammalia; Primates; Hominidae.
CUUUAAAGAGACAUAAGCUCUACCACACUUUCUUCCUCCUUAGAUUUAGUAUAACCCAUUUUUUAAAAAGCUUCGCACUGAAUUACAGAUCAAUUUUAAAAUGUCUUCUUUAUUGUUUAGUCAUUCCCUAAUGAGAAUCCCACAUCUAUUAUUUUAAAAUUUUUAUUUUAUUUUUAUUAUCACACAAUAACAUUAAUAGAAACUAUUCUGUCAAGAUAGUAUUUCUGGUUCUCUCCCAUUGACUUUGCCUGAAGCCACUCCAAAUUCUGACAUUACUCUUAAUGUUUUCAGGACAGAUGGUAUUAGAGCUUUCAGCAAAAGUAGUAGAUUAUCAGCAUAUAUUAGUUAACUUGUGAAUCUCCAUCUGAAUAUUCUUCAGAUACCCAUGGGAUCUGUGUGAUUUUCUAGCUUCAAUGUCAGCCUGAAGAGUAACAUCAGAAAUGGGCAUCAUCCUUACUUCCCUCCCCAGUGCAGCAAUAAGGCAGGGAAAGGGAGAUUGUAAACCAUUGAUUUAAACCAUAUAAAUGGAUUGAAAAUAAAUUGUGCUAUCUGCUUUAUUUGUCCCCAAAGCCAAAUUUACCUAACACAUAAUACAAGUAGUCUCAUUCAAUUGCAUCAAAGGACUUUUUGGCAUCUAAUAAAAUUAUUGCUAUUGGUUCUAAUUUUCUCUUUGUAUUCCAGAUGAGUUGCAUUCAUCUAUGCAGAUUAUCUGAUGCUUAUCUCCCAGGCAUAAAGGCUUCUUGGAUAAGGGUCUAUUAGAUUUGUGAUUAUUUGGUCACAUAGCCAGGUGUGCAGGUAGCUAUUAUUUUCUACCUACCCACAUUGUAUGAAAGAAUAUUUUUCACAAUACUGCUAAGGAAGUAAUAUGAAAUCUUGAGUAUAAGGUUAUAGGAAUAUACAUAAUAAGAUAAAGAACUGCAGGACACCUUGAUUUCCAACCACAGAUAAUAUCUGAUGCUUAAAAAAAUUCAGUACAAACCAUUUAAAUGCAUUACAUUUAUUCAGUCUAUUUCUGAAAGUAGUGGCUGUUCAGCGUGUGGACGGCAGGGAGAAGUUAAUGUGUUGGUAAGCAACCUAAAUUUUUAUAAAGCUAUUUUGAAAGUAACUCAGUGUCACAGAAAGUAAUAUCAAUUACUCUUUGCUUUACAAUUGACACUGCAAGUCUGCUCCAAAUUUCCAUUCUUCAGCUCAGCAUCUGCAAAGAAAAGGAAGGCAGAGAAUACCCUCCACUGGAGAUUUCUGGGUAUCAAAAUCACAAGACACACUUCUUUACAAUAUGGCCUGAAACAGUUCAAAGGUUGUUGUUUUUUUCCCAAGUAUUGAUUAAUCCUUUCAUCCCCUGGGAAUAGGGUAUGACACAAAAGGAGGAAACUGAACAAUGGAAAAUAGGGGUAAAGUCAGUUAAUAAUCUUGAGGGUUCAAACAACCUACACUCUGUGAGACAGCAUAGUGUUGGGAAAAGGGCCUGGACCUCGGAGCCAGUUUUGAUCGCGGCUCUACCCUUUAACUAUGAAAUAUUAAGUAAAAUGAUUUAUAAUUAGCCAAAGAGAAGGUGAGGGAAAACAUGCAUCCUUUUUUACAACUAAUAAUAUAUGAGGCCGAGCACAAUGGCUCACACCUGUAAUCCCAAUACUUUGGGAGGCUGAAGUGGGAGGAUCACUUGAGGCCAGGGGUUUGAAACCAGCCUGGUGAGGUCACAUCUCUACAAUAAUAAUAAUAAUAAUAAUUUAAAAAUUAGCCAGGCAUGGUAUUGUGGGCCUGUAGUCCAGGCUACUUAGGAGGCUGAGGCGAAAAGAUAACUUGAACCCAGGAAGUCGAGGCUGCAGUGAGCCAUGAUGACACCACUGCACUCUAGCUGGGUUGGGGACAGUGGGAGGAACUAAAUUCCAUUUGAUUCAAAGUGAAAAAAAAAGGGUUGAAUGAAAAUGAAACUUUGCUGGCUUUGCAGGACUGGCCUGGCACCUGACCAGGAAAGGUUAAAAAAGGUCAAACAAGGCUCCCACUGUGUGGCUAGGAAGAGGUUUCUGGAGAAAUGGAUUUGGAGGAUUUAUCUGGUAAUUCUCAAUCAUUCAGCUGUGGCCAAACUGAAAGCCUGUGAGCUGUACCCCUGACACCCAGAGUGUGGAAGCCCCAGAGGCCGAAGUCCCUUGGAACAUUCACGUUCUCCCCUGGGAUGGGGAUGAGGAGGCCAUGCAGAAAGACAUGUUCUGAGAAACCAGUGAUCUAAGAAAAUAACAUGUUACAAGACCAUGUUUUUUCUAGUUUUAGAACAUUUUAUAUAACUCAUAAGUGUUUGUAUAAAAAUUCACGCAAAGUUGCUAGAGAGCAUACAAUUUCCAAAAAUGUCCUGGGUUUUUGUUAUUUUCAGUUUUCUAAGGAUGCACUCCAAUCAAUGGAAAAAUGCAGACAUUAUGCAAGAUUUCAUUAUCUUUGGUAAAAGUAUUCUCAUUAUUUUGUCUCUUCACAGUAUUAACUCUGAUAUCCACUUUGUGCAGGGUCUGCUAUUACUAGGAUGUCAUAAAAAUGUUAAAGCUGGAUCUACAAGAGGCAAGUAUUUCCAAACAGCAGUAAUAGCUCCUUGGCCCCCACCCCCACUUCAUAUAUCUAUACAGUCUGUCUAUACAUUGGCUGAACCCUUUACUUACCAGUGUAGCCUUGGCAAACUAUAAACAGAACUGAGCUUUGGUUUUCUCAUUCACAAAAGGGGGUUAUAAUACUUAUUCCUGAGUUUGUUUUAAGCAUCAAUAAAGACAACAUACACAGUGGGUGUGGUGGCUCACGCCUGUAAUCCCAGCACUUUGGGAGGCUGAGGCAGGUGGAUGACAAGGUCAGGAGUUCAAGAUCAACCUGGCCAAGAUGGUGGAACCCCAUCUUUACUAAAAAUACAAAAAAAAUUAGCCAAGCAUGGUGGCGGGUGCCUGUGAUCUCAGUUACUUGGGAGGCUGAGGCAGAAAACUGCUUGAACCCGGGAGGCAGAGGUUGCAGUGAGCCGAGAUCAUACCACUGCACUCCAGCAUAGAUGAUAGAGCGAGAUUCUGUCUCCCAAAAAAAAAAAAAAAAAAAAAAAAAAAAAGUUGUGGCAGAUUCACUUGGCUUAAAAAUCUGACCUAAACUCAUGUAAGGCUAUUUAUGGCCAAGACUUAUCUCAUGUGGU